Molecule: ribosomal RNA, 279 nt
Filed under: uncultured bacterium
Lineage: Bacteria
Description: partial 16S ribosomal RNA
Rfam family: Bacterial small subunit ribosomal RNA
Source: RNAcentral
UGCCAGCCGCCGCGGUAAUACGUAGGUGGCAAGCGUUGUCCGGAUUUACUGGGCGUAAAGCGCACGUAGGCGGAUCGUUAAGUGAGGGGUGAAAUCCCGGGGCUCAACCCCGGAACUGCCUUUCAUACUGGCGAUCUGGAGUUCGAGAGAGGUGAGUGGAAUUCCGAGUGUAGAGGUGAAAUUCGUAGAUAUUCGGAAGAACACCAGUGGCGAAGGCGGCUCACUGGCUCGAUACUGACGCUGAGGUGCCAAAGCGUGGGGAGCAAACAGGAUUAGAUA